AGAGUUUGAUCCUGGCUCAGGACGAACGCUGGCGGCGUGCCUAACACAUGCAAGUCGAGCGGGCCUGUGAAGGUUUUAUGUUUUGGCAGGUUUAGCGGCGGACGGGUGAGUAACGCGUGAGCAACCUACCCUUGAAACAGGGAUAACCCUGGGAAACCGGGGCUAAUACCUGAUAUACUCUAUUAUGGCAUCUUGAUGGACGAAAGGAUGGGAAGCCGCUCAAGGAUGGGCUCGCGUCCCAUCAACUAAUUGGUGAGGUAACGGCUCACCAAGGCGACGACGGGUGGCCGGCCUGAGAGGGUGGUCGGCCACACUGGGACUGAGACACGGCCCAGACUCCUACGGGAGGAAUCAGUGGGGAAUCUUCCGCAAUGGGUGAAAGCCUGACGG
RNAcentral lists this ribosomal RNA (390 nucleotides) under uncultured bacterium. RNAcentral's name for it is "bacterial SSU rRNA". It matches the Rfam family "Bacterial small subunit ribosomal RNA", at positions 8 to 389 of the family's 1533-position model. The record is from RNAcentral.